RNAcentral lists this ribosomal RNA (897 nucleotides) under uncultured bacterium. RNAcentral describes it as "SSU rRNA". It matches the Rfam family "Bacterial small subunit ribosomal RNA", at positions 53 to 946 of the family's 1533-position model. The record is from RNAcentral.
ACAUGCAAGUCGAGCGGAUGAAGGAGCUUGCUCUCUGAUUCAGCGCGGACGGGUGAGUAAUGCUAGGAAUCUGCCUGAUAGUACGGGGGACAACGGUUUCGAAAGGAACGCUAAUACCGCAUACGUCCUACGGAGAAAGCAGGGGACCUUCGGGCCUUGCGCUAUCAGAUGAGCCUAGGUCGGAUUAGCUAGUUGGUGAGGUAACGGCUCACCAAGGCGACGAUCCGUAACUGGUCUGAGAGGAUGAUCAGUCACACUGGAACUGAGACACGGUCCAGACUCCUACGGGAGGCAGCAGUGGGGAAUAUUGGACAAUGGGCGAAAGCCUGAUCCAGCCAUGCCGCGUGUGUGAAGAAGGUCUUCGGAUUGUAAAGCACUUUAAGUUGGGAGGAAGGGCAUUAACCUAAUACGUUAGUGUUUUGACGUUACCGACAGAAUAAGCACCGGCUAACUUCGUGCCAGCAGCCGCGGUAAUACGAAGGGUGCAAGCGUUAAUCGGAAUUACUGGGCGUAAAGCGCGCGUAGGUGGUUUGUUAAGUUGAAUGUGAAAGCCCCGGGCUCAACCUGGGAACUGCAUCCAAAACUGGCAAGCUAGAGUAUGGCAGAGGGUGGUGGAAUUUCCUGUGUAGCGGUGAAAUGCGUAGAUAUAGGAAGGAACACCAGUGGCGAAGGCGACCACCUGGGCUAAUACUGACACUGAGGUGCGAAAGCGUGGGGAGCAAACAGGAUUAGAUACCCUGGUAGUCCACGCCGUAAACGAUGUCGACUAGCCGUUGGGAUCCUUGAGAUCUUAGUGGCGCAGCUAACGCAUUAAGUCGACCGCCUGGGGAGUACGGCCGCAAGGUUAAAACUCAAAUGAAUUGACGGGGGCCCGCACAAGCGGUGGAGCAUGUGGUU